CCACACUGGGACUGAGACCACGGUCCAGACUCCUACGGGAGGCAGCAGUAGGGAAUCUUCCGCAAUGGACGAAAGUCUGACGGAGCAACGCCGCGUGAGUGAUGAAGGUUUUCGGAUCGUAAAGCUCUGUUGUUAGGGAAGAACAAGUGCGAGAGUAACUGCUCGCACCUUGACGGUACCUAACCAGAAAGCCACGGCUAACUACGUGCCAGCAGCCGCGGUAAUACGUAGGUGGCAAGCGUUGUCCGGAAUUAUUGGGCGUAAAGGGCUCGCAGGCGGUUUCUUAAGUCUGAUGUGAAAGCCCCCGGCUCAACCGGGGAGGGUCAUUGGAAACUGGGAAACUUGAGUGCAGAAGAGGAGAGUGGAAUUCCACGUGUAGCGGUGAAAUGCGUAGAGAUGUGGAGGAACACCAGUGGCGAAGGCGACUCUCUGGUCUGUAACUGACGCUGAGGAGCGAAAGCGUGGGGAGCGAACAGGAUUAGAUACCCUGGUAGUCCACGCCGUAAACGAUGAGUGCUAAGUGUUAGGGGGUUUCCGCCCCUUAGUGCUGCAGCUAACGCAUUAAGCACUCCGCCUGGGGAGUACGGUCGCAAGACUGAAACUCAAAGGAAUUGACGGGGGCCCGCACAAGCGGUGGAGCAUGUGGUUUAAUUCGAAGCAACGCGAAGAACCUUACCAGGUCUUGACAUCCUCUGACACCCUAGAGAUAGGGCUUUCCCUUCGGGGACAGAGUGACAGGUGGUGCAUGGGUUGUCGUCAGCUCGUGUCGUGAGAUGUUGGGGUUAAGUCCCGCAACGAGCGCAACCCUUGAUCUUAGUUGCCAGCAUUCAGUUGG
RNAcentral lists this ribosomal RNA (835 nucleotides) under Bacillus sp. SS29. Its description in RNAcentral is "bacterial SSU rRNA". It matches the Rfam family "Bacterial small subunit ribosomal RNA", at positions 308 to 1134 of the family's 1533-position model. The record is from RNAcentral. Lineage: Bacteria; Bacillati; Bacillota; Bacilli; Caryophanales; Bacillaceae.